Molecule: transfer RNA, 73 nt
Filed under: Lachnospiraceae bacterium
Lineage: Bacteria; Bacillati; Bacillota; Clostridia; Lachnospirales; Lachnospiraceae
Description: tRNA-Glu
Rfam family: tRNA
About the family: Transfer RNA (tRNA) molecules are approximately 80 nucleotides in length. Their secondary structure includes four short double-helical elements and three loops (D, anti-codon, and T loops).
Source: RNAcentral
GUCCCCAUAGUCUAGCGGUCAAGGACAUCUGCCUCUCACGCAGGGAACGGCAGUUCAAAUCUGCCUGGGGAUA